This 500-nucleotide ribosomal RNA is filed under the name uncultured bacterium. RNAcentral's name for it is "partial 16S ribosomal RNA". It matches the Rfam family "Bacterial small subunit ribosomal RNA", at positions 32 to 507 of the family's 1533-position model. The record is from RNAcentral.
AAUCAACGCUGGCGGCGUGCCUAACACAUGCAAGUCGAACGCCAAAGCCCCGCAAGGGGUAAGUAGAGUGGCAAACGGGUGAGUAACACGUGGGUGACCUGCCUUCGAGUGGGGGAUAACGUCCCGAAAGGGACGCUAAUACCGCAUGACAUCCUGCUUUUGAAAAAGCGGAGAUCAAAGCUGGGGAUCGCAAGACCUAGCGCUUGAAGAGGGGCCCGCGCCUGAUUAGCUAGUUGGUGAGGUAACGGCUCACCAAGGCGACGAUCAGUAUCCGGCCUGAGAGGGCGGACGGACACACUGGGACUGAGACACGGCCCAGACUCCUACGGGAGGCAGCAGUGGGGAAUUGUUCGCAAUGGGCGCAAGCCUGACGACGCAACGCCGCGUGGAGGACGAAGAUCUUCGGGUCGUAAACUCCUGUCGAGCGGGACGAACGCUUCGCGGAUGAAUAAUCCGCGGAAUUGACGGUACCGCUAAAGGAAGCCCCGGCUAACUCCGUG